RNAcentral lists this ribosomal RNA (164 nucleotides) under uncultured bacterium. Its description in RNAcentral is "partial 16S rRNA". It matches the Rfam family "Bacterial small subunit ribosomal RNA", at positions 355 to 511 of the family's 1533-position model. The record is from RNAcentral.
UAGGGAAUCUUCCACAAUGGGCGAAAGCCUGAUGGAGCAACGCCGCUUGUGUGAUGAAGGGUUUCGGCUCGUAAAACACUGUUGUAAGAGAAGAAUGACAUUGAGAGUAACUGUUCAAUGUGUGACGGUAUCUUACCAGAAAGGAACGGCUAAAUACGUGCCAA